This 451-nucleotide ribosomal RNA is filed under the name uncultured bacterium. Its description in RNAcentral is "partial 16S ribosomal RNA". It matches the Rfam family "Bacterial small subunit ribosomal RNA", at positions 354 to 796 of the family's 1533-position model. The record is from RNAcentral.
GUGGGGAAUAUUGGACAAUGGGGGGAACCCUGAUCCAGCCAUGCCGCGUGUGUGAAGAAGGCCUUUUGGUUGUAAAGCACUUUAAGCGAGGAGGAGGCUACCGAGAUUAAUACUCUUGGAUAGUGGACGUUACUCGCAGAAUAAGCACCGGCUAACUCUGUGCCAGCAGCCGCGGUAAUACAGAGGGUGCAAGCGUUAAUCGGAUUUACUGGGCGUAAAGCGCACGUAGGUGGCCAAUUAAGUCAAAUGUGAAAUCCCCGAGCUUAACUUGGGAAUUGCAUUCGAUACUGGUUGGCUAGAGUAUGGGAGAGGAUGGUAGAAUGCCAGGUGUAGCGGUGAAAUGCGUAGAGAUCUGGAGGAAUACCGAUGGCGAAGGCAGCCAUCUGGCCUAAUACUGACACUGAGGUGCGAAAGCAUGGGGAGCAAACAGGAUUAGAUACCCGUGUAGUCC